ACGUGUGUUACUUUAAGAUGCGUGUUGAAGGUACACGGCUGGGGGAAUAAACGCUCUGAACACCCACUCCGCACUUAUUUUCUGGAAAAUAGAGAAGUAGUCGAGUUGUCGUCGCAGCUCUGCGUAACGGGGUGUGCAGGAGGAGGUUUUGUAACCUUCCUUGGCAAUUUUGGGUUUUAUGUGGCAUUUCCUGUGCAGGGUCACAGAUAGGAAGGCUCUCGCCCGCGAUCCGAGAUGUUUUCGUGUGCAGCAGACGCGCUGUGAAAUGCACGAGGGCACUGCUGGUGCCUCCUCUGCGAUCCCAACCAUGCUGGGCGUGAAGCACCCAUACACUGUGGCCUAUCCGUGGCUGGUGGGCUCCUUGGGUGUCUUUGAACUUGGGAGAGGGGGCUUUACUUUCGCUGUGUGCAUUUUAUAACAAGCAUUUUUGUUUACAUGAUCGCAUUAUUAAUUCCUUGCUCUGCUGUGAAUAUUUGUAUUUCUCUCAUGGUUUGGCUCUGUGAAAGCCGCAGCCUGGAAGAAGCUCUUCAGUGCCUUUGGAUAAGCCAGAAGCACGGUGUGUUUCUGCUAACUGCAAGGUGUCAGCUGCUGGCUGGAUGUCAGGUCUUGGUGAUGCUGGACUAUGGUAAAUAUACUGCUGAAGCAGCAGGAUCUUCCCAGUUACGGCAGAGCAGCAGGAUCUGGCUUGCAGCUAUGGUCUCAGAAACAUUGGUGCUUCGUUCUGGCAGCUACAAGAGGGCUGUUGUUUUUAAGAACUAAAGUCUCAAGUGACUUACGCAAGGUCACACAGGAAGUCUAUGGCAAGACUGAAUCUCAGUCCAUUUUUAAUCCUUGGGACUACACUUGCAUGUGGCUUGAUCGAGAGACUUAACCAUUUAGCUGUUACUAUUACUUUCAGUUUUAAGUAUUUAAAAUUUUUCAUAUUUAUUGUCCUGAAAUGCUUAUACUUCCAGUGAGCAAGAGACAAUGUGCAAAACUCAGUUCUCUGUAGUCAUUGUAAAGUGAUAUUAAGAGACAUCAACAUUGAUUACAGGCAAAAUGUCACCAAUAAAGAUACUAAUGAUGUGCCGGAGAAUUAGAAU
This 1082-nucleotide long non-coding RNA is filed under the name Numida meleagris (helmeted guineafowl). RNAcentral's name for it is "lncRNA (ENSNMEG00000008772.1)". The record is from RNAcentral. Lineage: Eukaryota; Metazoa; Chordata; Aves; Galliformes; Numididae.